UUUUUUCUNNACUAANACAAAAUAUUUUAACAGUUAAGUAAAGAAGAUUAAAAACCUUUUAAGAGCUAUAAAUUNGUACCGCAAGGGAAUGAUGAAAUAAAAGUGAAACAAUUCUUAAGCACAAAAUAGUAGAGACUAACCCUCGUACCUUUUGCAUCAUGGUUUAACUAGUCUAACUAGGCAAAAAGACUUUUAAGUCUAACCCCCCGAAACUAAGUGAGCUAUUUUAGGGCCGCUUAAUGAGCCAACCCGUCUAUGUAGCAAAAUAGUGGGAAGACCCUAAAAUAGAGGUGACAAGCCUAACGAACUUAGUUAUAGCUGGUUUCUCAAAAAAAGAAUUUUAGUCCAACCUAAAGUUAUAUAAANUUUNCCAUAAAUUUCCCCCCCANNNNNCUUUAGAGCAACUCAAAUGAGGUACAGCCCAUUUGAUACAGGAUCCAACCUUUACUAACGGGUAAUACCUGAUUCNNCACCCNNCAAGUAGGCUUAAGAGCAGCCACCUUUUAAAAAGCGUCAAACCUUAACUGUAUUAACCNCAAUUCACAAACCCCCAUCGACCCCUUUCACCCUACUGAGAACUUCUAUAAAAUUNAUAGAACCUUUAAUGUUAAAACUAGUAACAAGAGAUAUACNCCUCUCUGUAAUGUAAACUAAAGCCAGCAAGAACCCAUCACUGGCAAUCAACAGANNNNANACAAANGUAGUAAAUUUCUCCAGAAAACUCUACUCCCCUANNNNNNACUGUUAACCUAACACAAGAACAUUCUAAGAAAGAUUAAANGAAAAAGAAGGAACUCGGCAAACAUUAAUCUCGCCUGUUUACCAAAAACAUNGCCUCUUUCACCCNNAUAAGAGGUCCAGCCUGCCCAGUGACUUNUGUUNAACGGCCGCGGUAUCCUAACCGUGCGAAGGUAGNGUAAUCACUUGUNUUUUAAAUAGAGACUUGUNUGAAAGGCACCNCGAGGNUUAAGCUGUNUCCUCUUCCNAAUCAGUGAACCUAAUCUCCCNGUGAAAAAGCGGGAAUUUUUAUAUAAGACGAGAAGACCCCAUGGAGCUUAAAACAUUAUAACACUGCACNCCCCCUACAUUGACAAUUAGANUAUUNAACACCCACGGNCACACUAAUUAUAUGUUUUCGGUUGGGGUGACCGNGGAGGAAAACCCAUCCCCCACGAUGACGGACCCCCCCNNNNNCAAACAAUAAGUUACACCUUUAUGUAUCAACAAAUUGACUUNNAUUGACCCAAUAUAUUNGAUUAACGAACCAAGUUACCCUGGGGAUAACAGCGCAAUCCACUUUGAGAGCCCAUAUCGACAAGUGGGCUUACGACCUCGAUNUUGGANCAGGGUACCCCAGUGGUGCAGCCNCUACUUUCGUUUC
RNAcentral lists this ribosomal RNA (1381 nucleotides) under Pristimantis bicantus. RNAcentral's name for it is "partial 16S ribosomal RNA". It matches the Rfam family "Bacterial large subunit ribosomal RNA", at positions 401 to 2574 of the family's 2925-position model. Lineage: Eukaryota; Metazoa; Chordata; Amphibia; Anura; Strabomantidae. The record is from RNAcentral.